UUGAAACAUUGUGAAGGAGGUUGAGCUGGCUCUUUAAGUGCAUGUGCUCACCUUCUUUCAAUCUUCAUCCACCUGUGCACAUCUUGUAGGGGGAAUUUGGAACGGUGUAAAAAGCUUAGUACAAGUUUCUUCUAUGUUUUUUACACACUCUAUUGUAUGUCUUUGAAUGUAUAUUUAUUGGGACUUAAUUGACCCUUUAAAAACUAUA
This 208-nucleotide unclassified non-coding RNA is filed under the name uncultured fungus. Its description in RNAcentral is "sequence contains ITS1, 5.8S rRNA gene". Lineage: Eukaryota; Fungi. The record is from RNAcentral.